UGUAGUUAAUACAUAAAUUCCCCAUUUUUGUCAGCUAUUUGUUUUUGCAUAUGAGAAAGCAGGAAUGCUAGAUAUCGCCAAAUUUGCCCGAAUAAGCUCCCCGCCAAAAAAAUAAAAUAUAUUAAAAUGGAAACAUUUUUGCAAAAAAGAAUAGAUAAUACAUCCCCUUUUUCUGAUACAAAUGAUGAAUAUUUAAAUGUUGAGUGUAGAAUGGUAAAAUUUGGCGAAGUUGAAAUUAGUUAAAAAUGUAUACAUGCAUAUGUACAUAUUGUAUUAUUUAUUGACAAUUUUCAUCAUUAAAUGUAAAUUGUUUAACGCCAAUUGGGAACUCGACGAAAAAUUAAAAGCUUGGCUGAUAAAUACUGAUGAGGGAUUGCAUACAGGUAAAAUAUGCUCAGUAAACCGUAAAACAACUGGAGGUAAAAAAGAUUUGAUAAAUCACGGAAACACCAAAAAACAUUUAGAGCAGUCAAGGGAAUUUAAACCCACAGAGGCAGCAAGAACAUAAUAACAGGCUUUGUGGAAAGUACGGCUUUCGCUGAAAUACAUUUAGCCGCUUAUUGUGCUGAACACAAAAUUUCUUUUUCAACAAUGGAUCACCUGGUUCCCCUGAUAACCAACAGUUUCGAUGAUUCCAAAAUUGAGAAGGAUAUAAAGUCCGGCCGGACUGAUUAGAUUUGAAAAUGAAUGUCAUAGAUAAGAGUACAGACUGUUCAACAACAAAAAAUUUGAGUCUGGUUGUAGGAAUACAACACAAAAAUGAAUUAAAUGAUUUAUUUUUUGUAUGUAUGGAUGUAGUUAAGGCGGAUGGUGAGGGUAUUUACAGUGAAAUUAAACAUUUUUUCAACACGAAUGACAUUAACUACAAAAAAUUUUCGGUCGGUCCAACACCGGGGUGUA
This is a non-coding RNA of Bactrocera oleae (olive fruit fly), 900 nucleotides long. NCBI's taxonomy places the organism in Eukaryota, Metazoa, Arthropoda, Insecta, Diptera, Tephritidae. The record is from RefSeq and is a predicted model, not a curated record.